RNAcentral lists this ribosomal RNA (381 nucleotides) under uncultured organism. RNAcentral describes it as "bacterial SSU rRNA". It matches the Rfam family "Bacterial small subunit ribosomal RNA", at positions 367 to 762 of the family's 1533-position model. The record is from RNAcentral.
CGCAAUGGGCGAAAGCCUGACGGAGCGACGCCGCGUGCAGGAUGAAGUCCUUCGGUAUGUAAACUUCUUUUGCCAGGGAAAAAGUUAUUGAUGGUACCUCGAGAAUAAGAGGUUGCUAAACUCGUGCCAGCAGCAGCGGUAAUACGAGUGCCUCGAGCGUUAUCCGGAAUUAUUGGGCGUAAAGGGUGCGUAGGCGGCGAUGUUAGUCCCAUGUAAAAUUCCCCGGCUCAACCCGGGGCUCGCACGGGAAACGGCAUCGCUAGAGGACGGGAGAGGUCUGUGGAACUCAUGGUGUAGGGGUGAAAUCCGUUGAUAUCAUGGGGAACACCAAAAGCGAAGGCAGCAGACUGGCCCGUUCCUGACGCUGAGGCACGAAAGCGU